UACGAAGGGUGCAAGCGUUACUCGGAAUUACUGGGCGUAAAGCGUGCGUAGGUGGUUUGUUAAGUCUGAUGUGAAAGCCCUGGGCUCAACCUGGGAACUGCAUUGGAAACUGGCUGACUAGAGUGCGGUAGAGGGGUGUGGAAUUCCCGGUGUAGCAGUGAAAUGCGUAGAUAUCGGGAGGAACAUCUGUGGCGAAGGCGGCAUCCUGGACCAUUACUGACACUGAAAAGCGAAAGCCAGGGGAGCAAACGGG
RNAcentral lists this ribosomal RNA (253 nucleotides) under uncultured bacterium. Its description in RNAcentral is "partial 16S ribosomal RNA". It matches the Rfam family "Bacterial small subunit ribosomal RNA", at positions 524 to 776 of the family's 1533-position model. The record is from RNAcentral.